RNAcentral lists this ribosomal RNA (478 nucleotides) under uncultured bacterium. RNAcentral's name for it is "partial 16S ribosomal RNA". It matches the Rfam family "Bacterial small subunit ribosomal RNA", at positions 28 to 507 of the family's 1533-position model. The record is from RNAcentral.
GAUGAACGCUGGCGGCGUGCUUAACACAUGCAAGUCGAACGAGAAGUGAAGACGGAAACCUUCGGGCGGAAGGCUUUAUUUCGAGUGGCGGACGGGUGAGUAACGCGUGGGUAACCUGCCUCAUACAGGGGGAUAACAGUUGGAAACGACUGUUAAUACCGCAUAAGACCACAGCACCGCAUGGUGCGGGGGUAAAAACUCCGGUGGUAUGAGAUGGACCCGCGUUCGAUUAGCCAGUUGGCGGGGUAACGGCCCACCAAAGCGACGAUCGAUAGCCGAUCUGAGAGGAUGACCGGCCACAUUGGGACUGAGACACGGCCCAAACUCCUACGGGAGGCAGCAGUGGGGAAUAUUGCACAAUGGGGGAAACCCUGAUACAGCGACGCCGCGUGAGUGAAGAAGUAUUUCGGUAUGUAAAGCUCUAUCAGCAGGGAAGAAAAUGACGGUACCUGAGUAAGAAGCCCCGGCUAACUACGUG